Daucus carota subsp. sativus is the source of this 510-nucleotide long non-coding RNA. RefSeq lists it as uncharacterized. The record is from RefSeq and is a predicted model, not a curated record. The transcript is spliced from 3 exons. NCBI's taxonomy places the organism in Eukaryota, Viridiplantae, Streptophyta, Magnoliopsida, Apiales, Apiaceae.
ACUGUUGCAAAUGAAGUUGCAUAAGUUGUAAAUGAAAUUUCUGAUUUGCAACUGUUGCAAAUGCUGUUGCAAACGAAGUUGCAAGUCGUUGCAACUGUGUCAAAUGUUGUUGCAAAUGAGGUUGCAGAAGUUGCAAGUCGUAUUUUUGUAAAUAAUUUAUUAAAAAUAGUAUUUUCAAAAAUAAUGAAAGUUAUUUUUGUAAAAAAUUUUAAGAGGUUAGGCGGUUAUGAAAAAAGCCCUCAUAACUUUAACAAAAAUAAAAAAGAUUUUCUGUCCAAAAAAAAAAGAUAUCGACAAGUUCUCUGAUUCAUGGUCUAUAAACCCUAAUGUAGAUUCUUCGUCUACUUAUGUAUUCAAUUCAAUUACGAAAAGAGAGAUCAUCACCAAGAUACAUUAGCCUCAAUGAACUUGAAGCUUGAACUGCAUAGGAAAUGGCAACAAUGGAACAGCUGCCGUACGAGCUACUAUAUUAUAUUAUACUUUUGUUGGUGCAGUCACCAGGCGGAGCGG